This 253-nucleotide ribosomal RNA is filed under the name uncultured Legionella sp. Its description in RNAcentral is "partial 16S ribosomal RNA". It matches the Rfam family "Bacterial small subunit ribosomal RNA", at positions 524 to 776 of the family's 1533-position model. Lineage: Bacteria; Pseudomonadati; Pseudomonadota; Gammaproteobacteria; Legionellales; Legionellaceae. The record is from RNAcentral.
UACGGAGGGUGCGAGCGUUAAUCGGAAUUACUGGGCGUAAAGGGUGCGUAGGUGGCGAACUAAGUUAUGUGUAAAAUCCCCGGGCUCAACCUGGGACUGUCAGAUAAUACUGGUACGCUAGAGUAUGGGAGAGGGUAGUGGAAUUUCCGGUGUAGCGGUGAAAUGCGUAGAGAUCGGAAGGAACACCAGUGGCGAAGGCGGCUACCUGGCCUAAUACUGACACUGAGGCACGAAAGCGUGGGGAGCAAACAGG